GAAAGGCUGUUGCUCAGUGGUAGAGCUUCUGUUUUGCAUGCAGAAAGUUCUAGAUUCAGCCCCCAGCAUCUUCA
This is a non-coding RNA of Podarcis lilfordi (Lilford's wall lizard), 74 nucleotides long. NCBI's taxonomy places the organism in Eukaryota, Metazoa, Chordata, Lepidosauria, Squamata, Lacertidae. The record is from the annotation of a GenBank genome assembly.